This 103-nucleotide microRNA precursor is filed under the name Pteropus vampyrus (large flying fox). Its description in RNAcentral is "miRNA (ENSPVAG00000025913.1)". Lineage: Eukaryota; Metazoa; Chordata; Mammalia; Chiroptera; Pteropodidae. The record is from RNAcentral.
GAGCUCCCCUCUGGAGAGAUCUCGCUGGGGCCUCCAAAUGUUAUGGUGCAAACAAUUCUAAGACCUAUGGGGCCAAUUGAAAUUAAUUAUGAGCCUUUAUUAG